RNAcentral lists this ribosomal RNA (425 nucleotides) under uncultured bacterium. Its description in RNAcentral is "partial 16S ribosomal RNA". It matches the Rfam family "Bacterial small subunit ribosomal RNA", at positions 354 to 796 of the family's 1533-position model. The record is from RNAcentral.
GUGGGGAAUAUUGGACAAUGGGCGAAAGCCUGAUCCAGCCAUGCCGCGUGAGUGAUGAAGGCCUUAGGGUUGUAAAGCUCUUUUGUCCGGGAAGAUAAUGACGGUACCUACAGAAGAAGCCCCGGCUAACUUCGUGCCAGCAGCCGCGGUAAUACGAAGGGGGCUAGCGUUGUUCGGAUUUACUGGGCGUAAAGCGCACGUAGGCGGAUCGUUAAGUCGGGGGUGAAAUCCUGGAGCUCAACUCCAGAACUGCCUUCGAUACUGGCGAUCUUGAGUCCGGAAGAGGUGAGUGGAACUCCUAGUGUAGAGGUGGAAUUCGUAGAUAUUAGGAAGAACACCAGUGGCGAAGGCGGCUCACUGGUCCGGUACUGACGCUGAGGUGCGAAAGCGUGGGGAGCAAACAGGAUUAGAUACCCGAGUAGUCC